UUUGUACACUAUACAAGGUAAUGCCUGCCCAGUGACCAUGUGUUCAACGGCCGCGGUAUUCUGACCGCGCGAAGGUAGCGUAAUCACUUGUCUUCUAAAUAAAGACUAGUAUGAACGGCCUCACGAGGACUUAACUGUCUCCCCUGUCCAAUCAGUGAAACUGAUCUCCCCGUGCAGAAGCGGGGAUAAACUCAUAAGACGAGAAGACCCUAUGGAGCUUAAAACUUAAUGUCAACUACCCUUUUACCCUCUCUAAGGAACUAACAAAAAAGCCCUAGACUUGAUGUAAGUUUUAGGUUGGGGCGACCAUGGAGAAAAAAAUAACCUCCCUGAUGAUUUUCUAACUAAGAGCCACAACUCUAAGUAUUAAGACUCUUAACUCCUAUUGACCCAUUAUAUGAUCAACGAACCA
RNAcentral lists this ribosomal RNA (412 nucleotides) under Xenophrys sp. 4 SG-2015. RNAcentral's name for it is "partial 16S ribosomal RNA". It matches the Rfam family "Bacterial large subunit ribosomal RNA", at positions 1835 to 2459 of the family's 2925-position model. The record is from RNAcentral. Lineage: Eukaryota; Metazoa; Chordata; Amphibia; Anura; Megophryidae.